UACGUAGGUGGCAAGCGUUGUCCGGAUUUACUGGGCGUAAAGAGCGCGCAGGCGGUCGUGCAAGUCGCGUGUGAAAGCCCCCGGCUCAACUGGGGAGGGUCACGCGAUACUGUUCGACUCGAAGGCAGGAGAGGGAAGCGGAAUUCCCGGUGUAGUGGUGAAAUGCGUAGAUAUCAAGCGGAACACCGGUGGCGAAGGCGGCCUUCUGGACAGUGACUGACGCUGAGACGCGAAAGCGUGGGGAGCAAACAGG
Molecule: ribosomal RNA, 253 nt
Filed under: uncultured bacterium
Lineage: Bacteria
Description: partial 16S ribosomal RNA
Rfam family: Bacterial small subunit ribosomal RNA
Source: RNAcentral